This 806-nucleotide unclassified non-coding RNA is filed under the name Hevea brasiliensis (rubber tree). Lineage: Eukaryota; Viridiplantae; Streptophyta; Magnoliopsida; Malpighiales; Euphorbiaceae. The record is from RNAcentral.
GAAAGAGAAUUAAAAGGUUUCAUUCAAUCCAUUCUAAUAUAAUUUGUUGCAUAAUUCUCUGGUAAAUUUCCUUAGAAGAGUGUUUUAAGUCUUCCUCAUACAAGAAUGUAAAGAAAAGCUAACGUUGGAAUUGAUUUCUUCUUCGUCUAACCCAUUAGAAUAGACCUCAGUGAUUCCACUAGAACAUGGUGAAGUUGGUUGGGGAGGACCCAUAUCAGAGCUUUCUUCCAUUGUGAACUCCACAAAACUUGGACUGUUCACCUCGUGAGUAGUUUGAUUGGUGUUUGAAGGCUUAGAAAUGAUUAUCCCUUGUUUUCUAGGUCUCCUUUUCCUCUGAAACACACGGUAGACAACCCAUUCUCCUAAUUUCAUCUUAGCUGCCUGGGUUAGGUUGGGGAUUGUUCCUAAGCCUACAAGGCGAUAUUCAUGCAUGAUCCAUUGAGUUUUAGAGUCGUUAGAAUGCUUCCCCUCGCAGAAAAUCAGAGUUUUCCUCGUUCCAAUUACGUGGUUGCUCAAAGAAGCAACAAUUUGUCUGUCUUUGCCAAUAGGCUUCCAGUAACCAGAAGCAGCAGCUCUCUUGCAUCUGUUUUCACUGUCAUUUCCCCAUUUUCUGCCAAAGAAGUACCUCUUUUCCUUCAAAUCACCUGUCAAGCUCCAAGGAUCAUGUUGGAAUACAUCAAGCUCAGGAAUAAUAGAAGCAGGUAAUGGAACACCACAGGCCUUUCUUCUCAAGUAAUGAACAAGAAGCUCUUCAUCUGUAGGAUGAAACCUGUACCCAACGGGCAAUUUGAUUCCACCAUUCACAG